UGCAGAGAACUUUCCAGAGAUGGAUUGGUGCCUUCGGGAACUCUGACACAGGUGCUGCAUGGCUGUCGUCAGCUCGUGUCGUGAGAUGUUGGGUUAAGUCCCGUAACGAGCGCAACCCUUGUCCUUAGUUACCAGCACGUUAUGGUGGGCACUCUAAGGAGACUGCCGGUGACAAACCGGAGGAAGGUGGGAUGACGUCAAGUCAUCAUGGCCCUUACGGCCUGGGCUACACACGUGCUACAAUGGUCGGUACAAAGGGUUGCCAAGCCGCGAGGUGGAGCUAAUCCCAUAAAACCGAUCGUAGUCCGGAUCGCAGUCUGCAACUCGACUGCGUGAAGUCGGAAUCGCUAGUAAUCGUGAAUCAGAAUGUCACGGUGAAUACGUUCCCGGGCCUU
This 395-nucleotide ribosomal RNA is filed under the name uncultured Pseudomonas sp. Its description in RNAcentral is "bacterial SSU rRNA". It matches the Rfam family "Bacterial small subunit ribosomal RNA", at positions 987 to 1382 of the family's 1533-position model. The record is from RNAcentral. Lineage: Bacteria; Pseudomonadati; Pseudomonadota; Gammaproteobacteria; Pseudomonadales; Pseudomonadaceae.